CUGGUGUCUGAGAGCUUAGAGUUUAUAAAAGAUCUAUAUGAAAGGGUUAAUCAGAUAUACAGGCUUUUUGGAAUACUGAUGUGAGUGUAGAGGCCAGAAAAAUGAAGCUAGGUGGUAUUGGAGGAGAAUCUCUGAAGACUGCUCUCAGUAGGCUGACAACAAGUUAAGAUGAAUGUGUAACUGUUUUCUACAUUCUUCUUACUGCUAUAAAAAUAAUU
Molecule: long non-coding RNA, 218 nt
Filed under: Homo sapiens (human)
Lineage: Eukaryota; Metazoa; Chordata; Mammalia; Primates; Hominidae
Description: HSALNT0210204
Source: RNAcentral